Non-coding RNA from Cyanistes caeruleus (blue tit), 1317 nucleotides. NCBI's taxonomy places the organism in Eukaryota, Metazoa, Chordata, Aves, Passeriformes, Paridae. The record is from RefSeq and is a predicted model, not a curated record.
AGGUGCGGGCCGGGGGUGACGGACACGGCCGCUCUGAGCGAGCGAGGGAGGGAGAUGAGGAGGCGCUCGUCCUGCAGGUGCCGAGCGGGCAGUUUCCAGCUCCAGACCUUCCCUGGGGUGGAAGAUACGGCUGGCUCCUGAGUCACAGCCCGGCGCUCUCACAUGCCCCGUAGGAGGGUCCCACGCUUUGCUCUGGCUGCUCUCCGUGCUCGCGCACUGCCGGCGUUCCAGUCGAUCAUUGCUGCCAAACCUAAACAGAGCUCCGUGCACUGCGUGCCAAAAAUGUCUGCUGAAAAGUCACCAGACCGAAGGUCCACGGGGGACGUGAAACAGGAAAAUUUGCAUCGCUGGAGUGGAUCAAUUUUUCUACAUUUUUCACAUUGCCCAAAAAACUGAAUCCACAUCGUAUGGAGCAGCAGAGAGGAAUUGCUUCCUGUGGUUUUGAUACCAAUUAUAAGACCCCGAUUUUCAGACAAGAUGAUCAGAGAGAAAACAGAGGAUGCAGAGGAUGUGCCCAUUACUGGAUUCCUCCCAGGGACAUGUGACUAGGUGGUGCCUCAUGAGCCAGCGCCAGGAGUGUCUGCUGCAGCCAGUGACCCAGCAGAGGUGACGGGGAAUGUCAGCCUUUGCAGGGUGUGAUGCUGGCAUGAUCUAUGCUCCCAGAGCAGUGGUCUAAGAGAAGGAGGAAGAGAUACCCUGAUGUUUUCCCUCUACAAAUCCCAGGGCAUAGAAAUCUCACGAAUAAAGCUUCCAUGUCACCAGGAUAAGAAGCUUCCAUGCUCUUGGCCGUUGUACUUUAAGCCCAGACUCUUAGCACUGAAAUGCCUGAAAUGCUUGGCUCUAGUGGGGCUGGGCACUUUCCAGACUGCUGACAGCACUGAAAACACUCACCACGAUUAUAUAAAUAACAGUAAUUAUAAUGAGGGAGUCCUAUAAUUACAAAGGGAGGGCUCCUGUAACAGCACUGAAGGCAACCAGGGGCUGCUGGUGCUUGAGGCAGGACUCUCCUGUGUCUCCUCCCUCCAGGCAUCCUGCAACUGACUUGGGAUGUAAAUGGAUCCUCCUGGUAGCAGUGUGGCAGGCUCAGGGCUUUGAUUGUAUGGUUUAUUUGUCAAUAAUAUCUGAUGGCCGCCUAAUUGUUGGAAAAUUGGAAAGUGUAAUGCUUCAGCAUUAGACACCAGUGUCCCAAAGCCCUCCAGGCUGAUUGAUCUGUCUGGACUGUAACUUACAGGGGAUUAUGUCCCUGAACUAUGUGGAGCCAAAACUAAUGAGUGUUUAGGGGCUGGACUUAAACUUGGUGGUAGGUCAGGGCUUGGU